RNAcentral lists this long non-coding RNA (1277 nucleotides) under Equus asinus (donkey). RNAcentral describes it as "lncRNA (ENSEASG00005027659.1)". Lineage: Eukaryota; Metazoa; Chordata; Mammalia; Perissodactyla; Equidae. The record is from RNAcentral.
GUAGAAUUCAGUUGCAGUUACAGCCUGUCGCCACUAGAUGGGGGUCGAGAGCGGCGUGUUAGCUCUCCGCCUUGGGGCAAGAUGGCUGCGCCCACUGGCUUUGCUGGGAGGGGAGUGGCUGUUACUCACACGCGCUGGUCUGGGUUCAGAUCAGUUCUGUUCUCUGGUCUCCCAAAGCCCUUGAUUUAUGGGGUCCCCGCGGACGGAAGCUUUCCCCCCGUCAGCGGGUCUCCACUGAAUCAGCGGCAGGAGUCCUGGAUGAUCCCCUGGUCGCACGGCCCCUCCCCCGCUCCUUCCCGACCAGCACCGCAGCGAUGGCAGACUCUAGGGGAGGGAGCGAUGUUCUCUCUUACCGUUCCAGCGCCUCCGAAGGUGUAAGCAAAGUUUAUGAUCUCUGCCUUCUUGGUAUUGUAGGUCUCUAACGAGCUGGCAUUAUUUUUGUUCUCUGAAAUUCAGUUCUUCCAAUCUUUUGUUGUAUUUUGGAGGGGAGAGAAUCCUGGGUCAGCUCACCCCACCAUUUUGCUCCAAGAAAAAAAAAACUCUUUGUCCAUUUCUAUUGGUCAUCCAUGUGGAGAGAGUCACAUUUCUCCCUGAAAAAAAAAAAAAAGAGUUGGAAAUAAUCUGAUACCAAAAAAAGUGUCCAAAUCCUUCUGGGUGAUGAUGAUGGCACUCAAGUGGAUGUCUGUUCAAGGUGGGUGAAGGCGACUGUUUUUGAGAACUUUUCAUGCAAAAUCAAGAUCAGAAGGCACCUCCUGCACCUCUCACAAUGUUGGGAUGGAUGAAGGACAGAAAUAGAGGAAAUUUGGACACAGAGACAGAGACUCAGGGAGAAUGCCAUGUUUAUGCUGCCAGAAACCAAGGAACACCACAGAAGCCAGGAGAGAGGCCUGGAACAGAUGAUUCCUCACAACCGACCCUGUUAACACUUGAUCUCAGACUUUCAGCCUCCAGGACUGUAAGACAAUAAAUUCCUCUUUGUUUUAAGACACUCAGUUUGUGUGACAUUGUUAUGGCAGCUGUAGCAAACUAAUACACUACACUUAAAAAGUAAAGUAAACAGAUGACUUUAUUUUGUUUUAUUUAAAAUAUUAUAAUUUCAAUAUGUGACAAAUAAAAUUAUUAAUGAGAUAUUUACACUCUUUUUCUCAUUACUAGUCUUUGGAACCUGGUAUGUGUUUUACACUUCAGCACAUGUCCAACUCGGACUCGCCCCAUUUCAAGUGCUCAGUAGCCACACGUGGGCAGCGGCUCCCACCUAGGACAGUGAUGAACUGAAG